This 363-nucleotide RNase P RNA is filed under the name Aerococcaceae bacterium. Its description in RNAcentral is "RNase P RNA component class B". It matches the Rfam family "Bacterial RNase P class B". From Rfam's summary of the family: Ribonuclease P (RNase P) is a ubiquitous endoribonuclease, found in archaea, bacteria and eukarya as well as chloroplasts and mitochondria. Its best characterised activity is the generation of mature 5'-ends of tRNAs by cleaving the 5'-leader elements of precursor-tRNAs. Cellular RNase Ps are ribonucleoproteins. The record is from RNAcentral. Lineage: Bacteria; Bacillati; Bacillota; Bacilli; Lactobacillales; Aerococcaceae.
AAUUUUAGGUAAUCGCGGCUAGAAAUAGUUGAGGAAAGUCCAUGCUCGCACGCGCUGAGAUGCGUGUAGUGUUCGUGCUUAGCGAAACAAUAAGCUAAGGCAACGUGAAUCGUUGACGGCAGGAAAAAUGACUACGGCUUUGCUAUGUCAAAGUAUUCUUGAAAGUGCCACAGUGACGAAGCAAUAUUGGAAACGGUAUUGGUGGAACGCGGUAAACCCCUCGAGCGAGCAACCCAAACUUUGGUAGGGGCACUUUUUCUAGUAGGAAAUGAACGAACGAAAGAGGCAGUAAUUGCAGAUAGAUGAUUACCCAAUGGCGCGAGUGCCUAUAUCGCGUCAUUUGACAAAACAUGGCUUAUCGAA